Molecule: long non-coding RNA, 2138 nt
Filed under: Pan troglodytes (chimpanzee)
Lineage: Eukaryota; Metazoa; Chordata; Mammalia; Primates; Hominidae
Description: long non-coding RNA NONPTRT016665
Source: RNAcentral
CAAGUGAUUCUCCCACCUCAUCCUCCUGAGUAGCUGUGAUUACAGGCAUGUGCCACCACGCCUGGCUAAUUUUUGUAUUUUUAGUAAAGACAGAGUUUCACCAUGUUGGCUAGGCUGGUCUGGAACUCCUGACCUCAUGUGAUCGCCUACCUGGGCCUCCAAAAGUGCUAGGAUUACAGGGAUGAGCCACCACGCCUGGCCUUCAUCCUUAAUAACAAAUCACAUUUCUUGGCCUUAACAACUCAUGAAUUUAACAGGAAUAUGAAACAUAUAAUAUGUCAUGUUGGUGCCUUUAAGAUUAAAAUGAAUCAACAAGAAUUUGGCUUUAAGAAUUUCACAUCUAAGAUGACUAGAGAUCCCAGAGAUGUCCCAGAGACUGCAAAUCAAGACAACAGCAAAGGAUAUUUGUUCCUUAUUAUCUUUUGGUCCUAUUAGCAUUGAAGUAAGAAUAAUUUGGGGACUUGGCCGAGCGUGGUGGCUCACACCUGUAAUCCCAGCACUUUGGGAGACUGAGGCAGGCAGAUCACAAGGUCAGGAGAUUGAGACCAUCCUGGCUAACACAGUGAAACCCCGUUUCUACUAAAAAUACAAAAAAUUAGCCGGGCAUGGUGGCGGGUGCCUGUAGUCCCAGCUACUCGGGAGGCUGAGGCAGGAGAAUGGCGUGAACCUGGGAGGCGGAGCUUGCAGUGAGCUGAGAUGGCGCCACUGCGCUCCAGCCUGGGUGACAGAGCGAGACUCUGUCUCAAAAACAAAAAACAAAAAAAAAAAAAAAAAGAAUAAUUCGGGGACUUUGUUUAUAGUUUUUUUAAAGAGCCUUACGAUUUAGGUUUAAAUAAAAUUUGGCUCUGGGUUGUGGUUUAGCUAGACAUUUAUGAGUGAUCGUUCAGGUAAUACAUGUAAGAAAAGACAAUUUUAAGGGAUUAUAUAUAUUUGAUAUGGAUUUGAAAUUGCAAUUUUCUGAAUGAGGAAGCCUAGAGUUGGAGUGUUUUUCCAUUUUUUUCUUAGUCAUAGAUUAACUUUGAUAUUUGGCUCUGACAUAUCCUGUGCGAUCCUGUUUCCUGCAAAAACACAGCUCUCAAGCUGGGAACUGCUGUGAUGUGGAGCUGGUGUUUGACGACGGCUUUGAGCAUCUCAGCUAGAACACACUAUGCAAACACGGAAUAUUAUUUCUCAUCUCUUACCCUAAGAAGGGAGAGACAGGAGCUUAAUCCCCAGAUGCCACCAGGGUUUCAGAGAGAACAAAGAAGUGACCAGAAAACCUCGCAGCCCCUUAGAGAACGAGAUAGAGGUUUGGGCUCUGGCUGCUCAGCUGGGCACUGCUGACUCUGCCACUUGCAAAUGUCCUGUGGCUUGUGCCAUUCUAAACCCACAGAGGUCCUGGUCUACAGGGCACAGCCAGCUCUGUGGUGAACACACAUCCUGGCAGGAAUUGGGUGGGCUGGGCAUGGUGGCUCCUGCCUAUAAUCCCAACACUUUGGGAGGCCAAGGCAGGAGGAUCAUUUGAGGCUAGGAGUUUGAAACCAGCCUGGUCAACAUAGGGAGUCCCCUGUCCGUACAAAAAAUAAGAAAAAUUAGCCAGGCGUGGUGGUGCAUCCUUUUAACAGGUGUUUUGCUAUUAAGGCCAAACAGUUUUUCUGUUCUAUCAUUGUCUUUUUUUGUUUUCUCUCUUUGAUGGAGAGGAGAUGAAAUGAGCUGCUGUUUAGCCUGAGUACACCGUUGUGCUUUAUAUCUAUCAGCACCAGAAAUACCCCUGAGAGCUGAGCCGUAGAAAGCUGUCUAGAAACAAAUGAACUUAUGAAGCAUUUUAAGCUACAGGUUUUCCCACUGCAGUGCAUCAUGGGGAGAGGUAAAAGCGUGGAGGAUCUGGCUUCAGGCAGACCUUAGCUUAAAGCCCAUUAAGGCCACCAGGCUGCACAUCUCCUGGGGGCCCCCUUCACAGCAGACUCAGUGUGCAGGGCACCUCUGGAGUUGUGGCUGCACGGAUGACCCAGCCAUGUGCAGCAGCCUUGAAUCCCGUUUCCCUCACUGACUAGCUGUGUGGCCUUGGACAGGUAUUUGAACUCUCUAAGUGCUGGUUGCCUCAUCUAAUACAGCAUUAAUAAAUAUUUAUUAUAUUUUAGUCUGGUUGUGGUGGCUCA